RNAcentral lists this unclassified non-coding RNA (352 nucleotides) under soil metagenome. Its description in RNAcentral is "partial contains 5.8S ribosomal RNA, internal transcribed spacer 2, and large subunit ribosomal RNA". The stretch from base 1 to 120 matches the Rfam family "5.8S ribosomal RNA", at positions 35 to 154 of the family's 154-position model. The record is from RNAcentral.
GAUGAAGAACGUAGCGAAAUGCGAUAAGUAAUGUGAAUUGCAGAAUUCAGUGAAUCAUCGAAUUUUUGAACGCACAUUGCGCCCGCCAGUAUUCUGGCGGGCAUGCCUGUUCGAGCGUCAUUACAACCCUCAGGCCCCCGGGCCUGGCGUUGGGGAUCGGCGGAGCCCCCCGUGGGCACACGCCGUCCCCCAAAUGCAGUGGCGGUCCCGCCGCAGCUUCCAUCGCGUAGUAGCUAACACCUCGCGACUGGAGAGCGGCGCGGCCACGCCGUAAAACACCCAACUCUUCUGAAGUUGACCUCGAAUCAGGUAGGAAUACCCGCUGAACUUAAGCAUAUCAAUAAGCGGAGGA